This 442-nucleotide ribosomal RNA is filed under the name uncultured bacterium. Its description in RNAcentral is "bacterial SSU rRNA". It matches the Rfam family "Bacterial small subunit ribosomal RNA", at positions 338 to 795 of the family's 1533-position model. The record is from RNAcentral.
CCUACGGGCGGCAGCAGUGGGGAAUAUUGCACAAUGGGCGCAAGCCUGAUGCAGCGACGCCGCGUGGGGGAUGACGGCCUUCGGGUUGUAAACUCCUUUCGCCAAAGACGAAUUUGGACGGUAUUUGGAGAAGAAGCACCGGCUAACUACGUGCCAGCAGCCGCGGUAAUACGUAGGGUGCGAGCGUUGUCCGGAAUUACUGGGCGUAAAGAGCUCGUAGGUGGUUUGUCGCGUCGUUUGUGGAAGUCCACGGCUUAACUGUGGGACUGCAGGCGAUACGGGCAUAACUUGAGUGCUGUAGGGGAGACUGGAAUUCCUGGUGUAGCGGUGAAAUGCGCAGAUAUCAGGAGGAACACCGAUGGCGAAGGCAGGUCUCUGGGCAGUAACUGACGCUGAGGAGCGAAAGCAUGGGGAGCGAACAGGAUUAGAUACCCGUGUAGUC